UACGUAGGCGGAAGAUUAAGUCAGUGGUGAAAUCCUGCAGCUUAACUGUAGAACUGUCAUUGAUACUGGUUUUCUUGAAUAUAGUUGAGGUAGGCGGAAUGUGUAAUGUAGUGGUGAAAUGCUUAGAUAUUACACAGAACACCGAUUGCGAAGGCAGCUUACUAAGCUAUGAUUGACGCUGAGGUACGAAAGCGUGGGGAGCGAACAGGAUUAGAUACCCUGGUAGUCC
RNAcentral lists this ribosomal RNA (229 nucleotides) under uncultured bacterium. RNAcentral describes it as "partial 16S ribosomal RNA". It matches the Rfam family "Bacterial small subunit ribosomal RNA", at positions 568 to 796 of the family's 1533-position model. The record is from RNAcentral.